AUACUUACAUUGCAGUGGAAGCACCAUGAUCAGGAAGGUGGUUUUGCCAAAGUGAGUCUCAUUUGGAAUGUUUUUACUCUCUGCUGUUUUCUCACAUGUGGGAAACUUGACAGCAUAAUUUGUGAUUUUGAAGGCUGCGUUCGGCUUUAA
This 150-nucleotide small nuclear RNA is filed under the name Cavia porcellus (domestic guinea pig). Its description in RNAcentral is "U1 spliceosomal RNA (ENSCPOG00000026425.2)". It matches the Rfam family "U1 spliceosomal RNA". Rfam says of the family: U1 is a small nuclear RNA (snRNA) component of the spliceosome (involved in pre-mRNA splicing). Its 5' end forms complementary base pairs with the 5' splice junction, thus defining the 5' donor site of an intron. There are significant differences in sequence and secondary structure between metazoan and yeast U1 snRNAs, the latter being much longer (568 nucleotides as compared to 164 nucleotides in human). The record is from RNAcentral. Lineage: Eukaryota; Metazoa; Chordata; Mammalia; Rodentia; Caviidae.